Molecule: ribosomal RNA, 393 nt
Filed under: uncultured bacterium
Lineage: Bacteria
Description: partial 16S ribosomal RNA
Rfam family: Bacterial small subunit ribosomal RNA
Source: RNAcentral
AUACGGAGGAUGCAAGCGUUAUCCGGAUUUAUUGGGUUUAAAGGGUGCGUAGGCUGAGGAGUAAGUCAGGGGUGAAAUGCCGCAGCUCAACUGCGGAACUGCCUUUGAUACUGCUUUUCUGGAGUCCGGAUGCCGUGGGAGGAAUGGGCAGUGUAGCGGUGAAAUGCAUAGAUAUUGCCCAGAACACCGAUUGCGAAGGCAUCUCACGAAUCCGGCACUGACGCUGAGGCACGAAAGCGUGGGGAUCAAACAGGAUUAGAUACCCUGGUAGUCCACGCAGUAAACGAUGGUAACUAACCGUCGGCGAUAGACAGUCGGUGGCCAAGCGAAAGCGAUAAGUUAUCCACCUGGGGAGUACGUUCGCAAGAAUGAAACUCAAAUGAAUUGACGGGG